GGGAGAAAGGUCCCUGCUGUUUGCCGUGUCCUGGGUGGGCACAGAGCUCUGACCUUGGCCAGAUGGGCUGGUUUCCGGGUGUUUUGAUCCUGACGUCACCAAACCCUCAGGUUUGCUGAACUGGGGCUCUUACCUGUGUGACCCGUGAAAUGUCCCGGAAGCUGAUCGAUGUCUUUGUGCUCCCGCUGUGUUCAUUUGGGCUGUGCUUCAGGCUUCUCUCCCGGGGCCCUUGCCGUUGCUGUAUCUCUUGGAUGCCGUGCAGAACGGAAUCAGGCAGCCAAGCCUCAGGUUCACCUUCUCCCUCACCCUCUGCGCUGCUCGUGUGGCACAGCAGAUCCUGAAGCCAGAGGAGCACGUGUACAUAAGGGUAAAGAGAUUCCUUCUGUCACACCGGUGUUUGGACCUGAGGAAGGUACCAGGCUUUCUCCAGCUUUUCUACAGUUUUGAUUUUGAGUACAAAACAGCACGAGUGGAUCCUCAGAUUUCUUGGGGAAGGGCUGCGUGACAAACAUUGCUGUGAGCUCUAUGUCUACCAGAGGAUUUUCCGGGUCAUUCUUGCCUUUCUCAGCAGUCCUUUGUGUGACCAGGGCUCCCAGAGUCGUAUUCUGGAGGUAUGAC
Molecule: long non-coding RNA, 618 nt
Organism: Vidua macroura (Pin-tailed whydah)
Lineage: Eukaryota; Metazoa; Chordata; Aves; Passeriformes; Viduidae
Exons: 5
Source: RefSeq, a predicted model, not a curated record